RNAcentral lists this ribosomal RNA (371 nucleotides) under uncultured bacterium. RNAcentral describes it as "bacterial SSU rRNA". It matches the Rfam family "Bacterial small subunit ribosomal RNA", at positions 524 to 896 of the family's 1533-position model. The record is from RNAcentral.
UACGGGGGGUGCGAGCGUUAAUCGGAAUAACUGGGCGUAAAGGGCACGCAGGCGGUGACUUAAGUGAGAUGUGAAAGCCCCGAGCUUAACUUGGGAAUUGCAUUUCAUACUGGGUCGCUAGAGUACUUUAGGGAGGGGUAGAAUUCCACGUGUAGCGGUGAAAUGCGUAGAGAUGUGGAGGAAUACCGAAGGCGAAGGCAGCCCCUUGGGAAUGUACUGACGCUCAUGUGCGAAAGCGUGGGGAGCAAACAGGAUUAGAUACCCUGGUAGUCCACGCUGUAAACGAUGUCGAUUUGGGGAUUGGGCUUUGAGCUUGGUGCCCGUAGCUAACGUGAUAAAUCGACCGCCUGGGGAGUACGGCCGCAAGGUUA